This 482-nucleotide ribosomal RNA is filed under the name uncultured bacterium. RNAcentral's name for it is "partial 16S ribosomal RNA". It matches the Rfam family "Bacterial small subunit ribosomal RNA", at positions 30 to 507 of the family's 1533-position model. The record is from RNAcentral.
AUUGAACGCUGGCGGCAUGCCUUACACAUGCAAGUCGAACGGUAACAGGUCUUCGGAUGCUGACGAGUGGCGAGCGGGUGAGUAAUACAUCGGAACGUGCCCAGACGUGGGGGAUAACGAGGCGAAAGCUUUGCUAAUACCGCAUACGAUCUAAGGAUGAAAGCAGGGGACCGCAAGGCCUUGCGCGUUUGGAGCGGCCGAUGGCAGAUUAGGUAGUUGGUGGGAUAAAAGCUUACCAAGCCGACGAUCUGUAGCUGGUCUGAGAGGACGACCAGCCACACUGGGACUGAGACACGGCCCAGACUCCUACGGGAGGCAGCAGUGGGGAAUUUUGGACAAUGGGCGAAAGCCUGAUCCAGCAAUGCCGCGUGCAGGAUGAAGGCCUUCGGGUUGUAAACUGCUUUUGUACGGAACGAAAAGGCUCUGGCUAAUACCUGGGGCACAUGACGGUACCGUAAGAAUAAGCACCGGCUAACUACGUG